AGGGGACCCAUUCCUUCAUUAGACUCUGCCCUAAACCAACGAACUCUGGGAGAGUGAACUACAGACCUGAAACUGACGGGUGAGGCAGACAGGAGAUGUGAGUGGCAGUUGUAUCUGAACAGGUUUUCCUGAGGUGGGCAGAAUCCUGAGUGAGGAGAACACUGAGGUGUUUUUGGCUGUGUGUGUGUAUACCAGGCGAGACCACGUGGCUGCAGUUCCUGUGGAGGCCAAAGGAGGGGUUGGAUUUCCUGGGACUGGAGUUACAGAUGGUUGUAAGCUGACACGUGGGUGCUGGGAAUUUCAAGAGGAGCCAGUAUACUGCUAAGCCAUCUCUCUAGCUUUGUUUCCAUAUUAACUGUGUAUGCAUUGCUGGUACAACACAGGCUGGGUUGGAAAAUUUAAUCAAAAUAGCGAGUGGUAGUUGAGUACUUCCAAACACAGAUUUUGGGGGAUAGAGGUAGGAGUUCAAGGUUGUCAUCUACUGCAAUCAAGUUCAAGGCCAGCUGGGUUACAUGAGAUACUGUCUUGAAACAAAACCCAAAACAACUCACAAAACCCAAAGCAGUAGUGUUUCACACUGUCCCAGGAAUCACGCUUUUAGGUAUUUCUGUUUAGUAGUUGUGUUCCUACUGGUGUUAAUGACCUAUGAACAGGGUUUUCCAGUAUUUAAUGACAAUGAACCCAAAGUACUGUGGACAAAGGAGUGACCACAGUGAUCCAGGAGUCUACAGAGCUGCCUGAAGACCUGUGGCCACCCCUGCUGUUUGCCAAGCACAUGGUGUGAAAAUGGGAAUAAGGCCAUUUGGGCAUCCAUGAAGAUUUCUUUGUAAAUAUUACGUGCAUGUACACAUGACUGCAUGAGUUUAUGUGCACCAUGUGUAUGCAGGUGCCCUACAAGGUCAGAGGGCAUCAGAUCCCCUGGAACUGGAGUUCCAGGACAUUGUGAACAUCCUGAUAUGGGUUUGAAAAGCAGUAAACACUCUUUAACCACUGAGCUUACUCUCUAGCCUCAAGUUUUUUUUUUUAAAAAAAAUGUAUUUUAAAACCUAUUUAUUGGGGCUGGAGAGAUGGCUCAGAGGUUAAGAGCACCGACUGUUCUUCCAGAGGUCCUGAGUUCAAUUCCCAGCAACCACAUGGUGGCUCACAACCAUCUGUAAUGAGAUCUGGCGCCCUCUUCUGGCCUGCAGGAAUACACACAGAUAGAACAUUGUAUACAUAAUAAAUAAAUCUUUAAAAAAACCCUAUUUAUUGGUGUGUGUGCUUAUACUGUAGUGCACAUGUGGAAGUCAGAGGACAACCUGCAGGAUUUGGUCUUUUCCUUUCACCAUGGGGCUCCUGGUGAACCAUCUCACCAAGCAAGGUUGGUUCAUUGUCUAUUAAGUCUUUUGAGACAGAGUCUCACUAUGUAUUCCUGGCUGUCUUGGAACUCACUCUGUAGACCAGGAUGGCCUCGAACUCACAGAGAUCUGCCUGCCUCUGCCUCCCAAGUGCUGGUCUAAAGGUGUGCAUCACUAUACCUGGCUUGUUCAUUGAAAAAAAAUUUAAAACACAUUUUAUGUGUAUGGGUGCUUUGCCUGGAUGUAUGUCUGUGUACCAUGUGCAAUGCCUGGGACCAGAGGAGGCCAGAGAGGGUGUCAGGUCCCCAGAACUACAGUUACAGAUGGUUAUGAGGCACCCAUUCUUUCCAGCCCCAGGGUUGUUCAUUUGAAAACACUAUUUUUAUUUGAGACAGGGUCCAUAUAGCCCUAGUUGUCCUGGAACUCACAGAGAUCCACAUGUCUCUGCCUCCUGAGUGCUGGGAUUAAAGGCAUGUGCCACCACCAGCUGGCUAUGUCCCAGUAUCUUUAUUUGAAAUUGUGUGUAUAUAUGUCUAUGUGCAUGUGAAUGCUGUGACAUCAGAAGUCACUGGAGCUGGAGUUACAGGAGAUUAGUAUGUUUGUCUGACCUGAGUGCUAGGAACCCCACCUGGGUCCUCUGCAAAAGGAGGAUACCCUCUUAUCUGCUGAGCAAACUCUCCAGCCCCUUAAACAUUUUCUUUUUAAACUUUUCUUCUUCUUCUUUUUUUUUUUUUUGGUUUUUCAAGACAGGGUUUCUCUGUGUAGCUUUGCGCCUUUCCUGGAACUCACUUGGUAGUCCAGGCUGGCCUCGAACUCACAGAGAUCCGCCUGGCUCUGCCUCCCAAGUGCUGGGAUUAAAGGCGUGCGCCACCACCGCCCGGCCUUUAAACUUUUCUUGCAGUGAAUGGUUGUGCAUGCCUAUCAUUCCAGCACUCUUGGUGUCUGAGGCAGGAAGUCUGACGUAAGUUUGAUAUCAGUCUUGAAUACAUAGUGAGAUUAAGACUCCCUGGUUACACAGAGAAAACCAACCAAAAACAAGAAACCAAACCAAAAAACCCCACAAACAAACAAAC
Long non-coding RNA from Peromyscus californicus insignis, 2410 nucleotides. RefSeq lists it as uncharacterized. The transcript is spliced from 2 exons. NCBI's taxonomy places the organism in Eukaryota, Metazoa, Chordata, Mammalia, Rodentia, Cricetidae. The record is from RefSeq and is a predicted model, not a curated record.